UAAGACAGAGGUGGCGAGCGUUGUUCGGAAUCACUGGGCUUAAAGGGCGCGUAGGUGGCAGUGCAAGUCUGGGGUGGAAUCCCAGGGCUUAACCCUGGAACUGCCUUGGAAACUGCAUUGCUUGAGUCAGUGAGGGGAGGGUAGAAUUCCUGGUGUAGCGGUGAAAUGCGUAGAUAUCAGGAGGAAGGCCUGUGGCGAAGGCGGCCCUCUGGCGCUGGACUGACACUGAGGCGCGAAAGCGUGGGUAGCAAACAGGAUUAGAUACCCUGGUAGUCCACGCCCUAAACGGUGGGUACUAGGUGUAGGGCUCGUAAGGGUUCUGUGCCGAAGGGAAACCAUUAAGUACCCCGCCUGGGGAGUACGGCCGCAAGGUUGAAACUUAAAGGAAUUGACGG
This 395-nucleotide ribosomal RNA is filed under the name uncultured bacterium. Its description in RNAcentral is "bacterial SSU rRNA". It matches the Rfam family "Bacterial small subunit ribosomal RNA", at positions 521 to 916 of the family's 1533-position model. The record is from RNAcentral.